AACAGUGCUCUUUAUUUCCUUAUUUUAUUAUGAUUAUUUUUCUUGGAGAUUAAGUAGUUCUGUACUUUUUUUUUUUUUUUUUUUCCAGCAAAUUAUAAAAGUAGAUAAAGAGGAAAUCACUAUUAAUAAAAUGCAACAUAUUUUUAAUUGAAAUAUACUUUUUACACACCAUGACUGAAAAGUUUCAUUAGAUCAGUUAGUGUGCUAAAUGACACUCAAACAUAAAUUGUUUCUAACACAAAUCUGGAAAAUAAGGCAGCAAGGUUUCUUCCAGAAUAAAUAAAUAAAUAAAUGAAUAAAUCUAUCCUUUCUUAGUUUAAAGCCAUUAAUCACUGUCCUUACCCUUCAGCAGCCCCUUCUGGGUGGAGGCAUCAGCCACCACUGGGUUAGAAGACUUUUAAUGCAAUCAGUGCUUAAGACAGAACAAGAAGAUAACAAUGAUAGAGAAGCAACUAGAAUGAAAUCAUGAUCCUGUAAGUAAUUCAUGGGAAUAUGUGAUUGAUAAGCAUUCUGAAAAUGAACAGAACAUAACAAAGGAGAGUCAAAGUUGAAAAACUUGGAGGACUUGUUUUCUGCUUGUCACUACCAGGUGUGCUUUAUAAUGGUUUAAUAUAGAAUUGAUAUUAAUGGUAAUAUUAAUUUUAAUUAAAGUACUCCUUUCAAAUUCCACUUCAUUAAGCUAAAAGAUGUGAUUAUUUUCUCACUAUGUUGGGGGAGUUAGCUUAGCUCACUUCAAUUUCUAACUGGAAAAAUUUGGGCACUUGGUAAAAAAAAUUCCUUCACAUUUUAGAUAUAACAGAAGUGGACCAAAAGGAAUUUUAACAGUUUCACAUCUACAGAAAACAUUUCACCAUUUUGUAUUUCUCUUACUCAAAGGAACUCUUCAUCAUGGGCUGAAAUGAAAGGCAAAACUCAUAUUUGAGCUCCAUGCUCACAAAACAAGCC
This 945-nucleotide long non-coding RNA is filed under the name Anas platyrhynchos platyrhynchos (common mallard). RNAcentral's name for it is "lncRNA (ENSAPLG00000021928.1)". The record is from RNAcentral. Lineage: Eukaryota; Metazoa; Chordata; Aves; Anseriformes; Anatidae.